Molecule: ribosomal RNA, 328 nt
Filed under: uncultured fungus
Lineage: Eukaryota; Fungi
Description: LSU rRNA
Source: RNAcentral
CAGUCGUACCGGCGGGUAAUCAGCCUUUCGGGUAUGAUUCUGUGGAGCGUGAGGAGUUAAACGCCUUCAUGCCCGCAUAUUCGUGCUCUUGGGUGUACUUGCUCGUGUGGUUGGUUAACAYCAAUUUYGGUUAUCAUAAAAUGGCUGGAGGAAUGUAGCUUCGAUUUCGAUCGAAGUGUUAUAGCCUUUGGCAGAUGUGAUGAUCGGGAUUGAGGAUUGCAACGGAUACCCUUCGGGGCUACUUGUYUGAUCUCUGAUCGUUGCUCUGGUGCCGAAAGCUUGCUUACGGUUAUCAAAGUCGAUGGUCAACAGGUUAGAACGGGUUAAA